This 890-nucleotide ribosomal RNA is filed under the name bacterium enrichment culture clone 3-16. Its description in RNAcentral is "bacterial SSU rRNA". It matches the Rfam family "Bacterial small subunit ribosomal RNA", at positions 611 to 1502 of the family's 1533-position model. The record is from RNAcentral.
AACCAUAGUUAGCAUUUGAAACUGUACANNNUGANUGCAGGAGAGGUAAGUGAAAUUCNNNGUGUAGCGGUGAAAUGCGUAGAUAUUAGGAGGAACACCAGUGGCGAAGGCGACUUACUGGACUGUAACUGACGCUGAGUCACGAAAGCGUGGGUAGCAAACAGGAUUAGAUACCCUGGUAGUCCACGCUGUAAACGAUGAGUGCUAGGUGUUGGCCAGCGAUGGUCAGUGCCGAAGUUAACACAAUAAGCACUCCGCCUGGGGAGUACGGUCGCAAGACUGAAACUCAAAGGAAUUGACGGGGACCCGCACAAGCAGCGGAGCAUGUGGUUUAAUUCGAAGCAACGCGAAGAACCUUACCAAGGCUUGACAUCCCCUUGACCAGUGCAGAGAUGUACUCUCUCCUUCGGGAGCAAGGGUGACAGGUGGUGCAUGGUUGUCGUCAGCUCGUGUCGUGAGAUGUUGGGUUAAGUCCCGCAACGAGCGCAACCCUUAUCAUUAGUUGCCAGCAGGUUAAGCUGGGCACUCUAAUGAGACUGCCGAUGAUAAAUCGGAGGAAGGUGGGGAUGACGUCAAAUCAUCAUGCCCCUUAUGUCUUGGGCUACACACGUGCUACAAUGGUCGGUACAACGGGCAGCGAAAGAGUGAUCUGGAGCAAAUCCCAAUAAACCGAUCUCAGUUCGGAUUGUAGGCUGCAACUCGCCUACAUGAAGUCGGAGUUGCUAGUAAUCGCGAAUCAGAACGUCGCGGUGAAUGCGUUCCCGGGUCUUGUACACACCGCCCGUCACACCAUGGAAGUUGGUAAUACCCGAAGUCGCUGAGCUAACCGCAAGGAGGCAGGCGCCGAAGGUAGGAUCAAUGACUGGGGUGAAGUCGUAACAAGGUAACCA